AACGCACCUUGCGCUCCUUGGUAUUCCGAGGAGCAUGCCUGUUUGAGUGUCAUGAAAUUCUCAACCUUUCUGGCUUUUAUAAGCUGGUCAGGCUUGGAUUGUGGGAGUUGCUGGUUUCUUUUGAGAUCGGCUCUUCUUCAAUGCAUUAGCAAAAUUCUUGCUGGCCAUCUUUGGUAUGAUAAUUAUCUAUAUCAUUGAGACACAGCUUCUCCACUUCAAUGGGAUUUCAGGCUCUGCUUGGUUUUUUAUCUCCAAGUGUUCGUUUCCACCUAGCUUAGGCACAGACGUUAACUCGUUUGAUGGUGUUGAAUACUUCAGGUGGACGAAGCGCGGCGUUCUCAGGAGCGCUCACGAGAGCAAGCAGCAUCAUCUGUGAUGUGUGCACUGUCAUAUUCCUGUACCUACCCUAGCUACUAUGUGGCUUUUAUGGGUCUGGUCUAACCAUGACCUGAACAUAUCCUUAGUGGGAGAAUCUUGCUUCUAAUAUAGUUCCUAUGAACAUCUUGACAAUUUGACCUCAAAUCAGGUAGGACUACCCGCUGAACUUAA
This 549-nucleotide unclassified non-coding RNA is filed under the name uncultured Entoloma. RNAcentral's name for it is "sequence contains ITS2". The stretch from base 1 to 52 matches the Rfam family "5.8S ribosomal RNA", at positions 103 to 154 of the family's 154-position model. Lineage: Eukaryota; Fungi; Basidiomycota; Agaricomycetes; Agaricales; Entolomataceae. The record is from RNAcentral.